This 853-nucleotide ribosomal RNA is filed under the name uncultured bacterium. Its description in RNAcentral is "bacterial SSU rRNA". It matches the Rfam family "Bacterial small subunit ribosomal RNA", at positions 58 to 924 of the family's 1533-position model. The record is from RNAcentral.
CAAGUCGAACGGAGCUUAGAGAGCUUGCUUUUUAAGCUUAGUGGCGAACGGGUGAGUAACGCGUGAGUAACCUGCCCUAGAGUGGGGGACAACAGUUGGAAACGACUGCUAAUACCGCAUAAGCCCACGGUACCGCAUGGUACUGAGGGAAAAGGAUUUAUUCGCUUUAGGAUGGACUCGCGUCCAAUUAGCUAGUUGGUGAGGUAACGGCCCACCAAGGCGACGAUUGGUAGCCGGACUGAGAGGUUGAACGGCCACAUUGGGACUGAGACACGGCCCAGACUCCUACGGGAGGCAGCAGUGGGGGAUAUUGCACAAUGGAGGAAACCCUGAUGCAGCGACGCCGCGUGGAGGAAGAAGGUUUUCGGAUUGUAAACUCCUGUCGUUAGGGACGAUAAUGACGGUACCUAACAAGAAAGCACCGGCUAACUACGUGCCAGCAGCCGCGGUAAAACGUAGGGUGCAAGCGUUGUCCGGAAUUACUGGGUGUAAAGGGAGCGCAGGCGGGAAGACAAGUUGGAAGUGAAAACCAUGGGCUCAACCCAUGAAUUGCUUUCAAAACUGUUUUUCUUGAGUAGUGCAGAGGUAGAUGGAAUUCCCGGUGUAGCGGUGGAAUGCGUAGAUAUCGGGAGGAACACCAGUGGCGAAGGCGGUCUACUGGGCACCAACUGACGCUGAGGCUCGAAAGCAUGGGUAGCAAACAGGAUUAGAUACCCUGGUAGUCCAUGCCGUAAACGAUGAUUACUAGGUGUUGGGGGAUUGACCCCCUCAGUGCCGCAGUUAACACAAUAAGUAAUCCACCUGGGGAGUACGACCGCAAGGUUGAAACUCAAAGGAAUUGACGGGAGCCCGC